UGAUUAUCUGUUAGGGUGUCUUCGUUGGAUAACACUCCAAGAGGCCCGGUACAGAGGCCGGAAGGUAUGGUGGCCUCGAUGCUUCCCACCGAACCUAUGAUAUUCAAGAGGAUAUUUAAAAAAAAAGGAAAUAGGAGAAGAGGAACACUGGCUCACCUGUGCCGAGGGUGUACGGCGGUUCGGAGGUGUUCACCGUGUGAUGAUUCUGCAGAAACUCCAUCUCUGCGAAAUUUCUGGUCGCAGCCGCCCUUAGAGACACCCCCUUUCCCCGCCUCUCGACAAAAUACACGGAUGGAUUGCCUCCUCUCUGUAGAGAUGUGGUCCAGCCCCUCUGGUCGCCCUAGCAACCGCACAUUGCUCCAAACUGGCUUUUGAUGCUGCCACUUCUUUUCUGGGACAGUAGAUAACUUUAGCGAAGAACUUGUGAUGGAUUAUGUAAGUAAUUUUUCUCUGAUGGAUUAUAGAAAUAUAUUUUAAUAUAUUUUAUGAUUGAUGUUUCUUAUAUGAAAGGAGAGAUUGAUAAAUAAUUUGAGAUACAGGAGUUUAAGAAUUGAUUUUAAUAUAGAGAGUAAUGUAACUUUUCAGAGGGGGUUGUUUUUAAUAUUAAUGUUGAAUUGAAUAAUUAAACAAAGGAAAGGGAAUUUUGAGAGUUAGUAUUAAUAAUGUAGGAGGGUAAAUUGAAAAUUUAACUAGUUUUAAGUUAAAGUUCACUAAGUUUACAUCGAAUUAAUAAACGCUUCGGUUAUUCAACAUACCCCCAUAUAAUUAUUAAAAAUUAGUAUGUUAAUAUUAACAUUGGCAAAAAGUAUUCUUGGGUACAAUUUGCAAUUGGAAAGGAAAUAUGAUAAAAAGGUAAAAUAUUUGAAUUUACAAUUAGUCAAAUUAUUAAAACAAUGAAAGAAGAGAAAUUUCUAAAUACCAUUGAAAUUAUACUCAUUGUUUAGAACAGAAAAUUAACUCCUAAUAUCUUUAAUAACAUCCAAUUAUUUUUGUUUCACUGUGAUAAUCAAUGUGUUAAUGCAUCAUUUAAUUAACUAACAAGCGAAAGAUUCAAUUAACAAAUAUAUGUAAGUGUUAUUUGAAGAAAUUAAGGGUCUAUAUUUAAUACUUAAUGUAUUGACUCUUAUGGGGUCACCGAUGACCGGUGCCACAUAUUUAAUGCAACUGAAAUCAUAACAGAAAGCAAUAUUUAAAAAAAUAUUUCUUAUUAAAUUGUGUCAUAUUAUACUUGGCCACUUUCACUGCGCCAUUCAACGCGUUAAUAUUACAAAUAUGCUUCAGUAAAAUCAGCUUCAAUAUAAGUGAUAUUACAAAGGUGCUACGAACAUUUAUAAGCUGUGUUCAAAAAUAAAAAACACAGGAAAAUGAUAAAAAAUCUGCUCUACUGAAACAUUAUCAGCUUCACAGAAAUUCCCAUGGAAUAAUAAACAGUUUGAAGCUACGCCCAUAAAAUCGUAUGAUCUCGAAUAAAAAAAAAUACAGGAAAAAUUAUAAAAAAAUCUGAGAAUUUCAUGAAUGAGUUUUUAUGAAUGGGUGAAAGGAAAAUGCACGUACAUAUGGACCUGAGCGUAUAGAAGUACCUUUAUGGCUUGGAAGACCUGCCGGUUUCCUCUAAAGGCUUCUGCAGAAAAUCUGCCAGAUACUUUCAUUCAUAGCCUGAAAACCAUGUGCAUCUUCCCACGUGAUUCGGUUCUCCAUUUUCAAUGACUCAAAAUGAUCAUCUAUCCAAGAAUUAGUCCCACCGUUCUAAAACAUAUGAUUCCAUAAAGAUGCACCUUCAACAAACUACUUUUGGUCACUUGAAAACAAGAAUUAUAACAUCCAGCAAUGUUACAAUCAUCCAGUUGAAGAAGAUUACCAAACUUCCACAAUCAUUCACAGGAAAGUCAUCAUUAUCAAUGUUCAAUCAACACUAGAACUUCAACUAUCAUACAAUAUCAUCAGCACUGUUUUAUUUCUUUCUAUUCUUGUACAGAUCCUUGAUUCUCUUCUCAGUCAUCUCUGAAGUAUUCUUCUUCUCACAACACUGGUUUCAGUCUGACUUUGAAGCACCUUGAAGACAUAAUUGCACCUUGAACACUGUUCUUCACAAAUGAACACUGAAGAAAAACAAGAAAAAUCCAAGGAAUGGUUCACUGAAGCAGAAGUUCACCAGCAGAGUCCAGUCUAAGAAUGAUGAAGUACGAGUGUCAAUCUUGAGGUGACAAAAAGAAGAAGUCCUCGGACACAGCACAGCAUGCUGCUGCCAUGCUGGCACGAUGCCUUGUCAAUGUGUCUUGGCUAACUAGAGAUCUACCACCUACUAUCACCCACUCUCACCCCUUACUCACUGACUACGUACCAUCCGACCCCACUCCACCAUGGGCCGGCCUUUUUCUUCGUACUCUUUUUUUUUUCUCCUCUCCCUCGGCUGCCUUCGUUCCACGUGCGUACCAUCCUCUUCUUCCACGUGUGUACCCCUACCCUCGCACGUUAACCUUUCCUCCAUCCAACGCUCGGCUAGGUGUUUUUAAGUUAAGGAGAUUUGCAGGACUUUUCAAUUAUGCCUGUUUGCUUGAUUUGUGCUUUGUGUCUUUGAGGGUGGAAAAUAGUAUUCAUAGGAUUGGUUUCAAGUAUAUUUAACUGAAGUGAAACUUUUCAGUGGUAAGGGUUGGUUUCAGUUAUCAAUCAGUGGGUGAAUAUUUGUAAAAUUUAACACAGUUGCUUAUAGUAAUAUUUUAUUCAUUGAAAAGUCUGAUUUUGUCAUGGGACAUACAACAGUGUCCCAUAAACUAUAGAUUACUAUAUUGAAGUUAUGAAGUGCUAGGACUUAGUUAUUUGUAUUCAUAGUGAAACUUUCCAAAGACAGCGUGAUCUCCUAUCAGUUAUAACAAAAGAAAGCAGUCAAGUAUAGGAAUAAAAGUGACGAUGGGAGAAGAGGAUGUAAGAAACGGUUUAAACGAUAUCCAUGUCCAGGAACGUGUAAGACGUAAGACGUUCGUAUACACGGGUUGGACGUCGUCGAUGCCGACGACACGGGAUACUAAUCGUUCAUUCGGCGAUCGUUGAUCGGUGAUCGGGGGCCUUCUUCGAGCCUCGUCUCUGCUAUACCGAUAUCCUUGCCAGCGAGAGGGACGGGGAAGUAGGAUAUUAUUUUCUUCAGAUACCAUUACCACGCCGAUCACGGUGGUCCUGCCUUGCAGACGAGUGGCCCCGAUACCCUCGAGAUCACUGGCUUGUAAUGCCUUCCCUUUCGUGGAUUAUUGACCAGUGAACGGUGAGCCCGGCUGCGAAACACUCCGACGCUACCUAUUCCACUUGCCAGACUCUGCCACCCUCUUUCUUCGACUGUUACCAUCUUCUGUUUGAUAUAGAGUGUUACUUAUUCUACUUGGGAAUAGCUUUAACUCUCAGUAGGGAUAAGAUAAAUAAUUACAGUUUGUAAAUUAUAAGGUUUAUUGCCAUAUUGAGUAAUUAAGCAGGACUUAUAAUAGACCUUGGUACUCCUUAAAAUUCUAAGAUUUUAAGCUUCCAAAAUUCUAAAAUUCUGUGGACUCGAUCCAUCCCAGAAAAAGGUUCUGAUUAUGCCAAUAUUAGUUUGCAAGUUAGAGUGGUUGGGUCUGAAAUUUUGAUAGUGAAAGUCAUUAUAUUGAAGCUCUGACGUUAACCCUCGGAUGGCGGACCAUGGAGAGAGCCCCAAUUUCAAUUUAAUUUAAACCUGUAUUUCAUAUUAUUUUCAUUUUCUAAAUUUUGCACUGCCCUUCUAAAAAUGAUAAGUGAAUGUCAUUAUUGUGAAGCUCUGAUAUUUAUUAACCCUCGGACAGCGGACCAUGGAGAGAGCCCCAAGUUUCUUUUCUCCCUCAUAAAUUCUUUUUCCAAUAUAUGCAACUCUUUUACUCAUAUAAUAUCCUUGUAUACAUUUUUAAAUUUGGGUCACGACGACCCAGUCUCUGCUCUUCUAAGAUUGAAGAUACUUUUAUCAUCACCCAUAAGAUUCCAGUGCACCCUGCAUAUAUCCUUCCGCAUCGGAAGAAUUAAUCACGACUAAAAGACACGAAAAGCGUACUUCCUGGAAUCGAAAAUUCGUCAGCGAAAAUUUCCUCCUGAUUGUACCACUCGUCUCUCACGAGUCCGGUCGCAUCCGACUAUCGGAUGUCGACAUAAUCGGGACCGUCAGGCCGGACACCUGACUACGUAGUUCCGACGUGGACACAGGAAGAGGAAGUCGACCGCACGGCAGCGCUCUGGCGUCGACCGUGUGUCCAGCAGCAGUGGCAGAGAACCGUCGAAUAGUUGGGAUCGGGUUCGCGUUAUUCGUAGCGUUUUUCAAAGGGAAGCGACGGGAAAGGGCAGAAAAAUCAACGAGAAGGAGAAGGGAACUGGUGUGAAGGGUGUUAACGAGGAGAGGGAGGGGUAAGAGGUUCACGUGGAGGAGAGCAGAGCUCGCAGCACGCCGAGUGUACACCCUGGGUAUUGGCUUACACUUCCAGCCGAUUGGGCCUAUGGUAUUUACGCAGGACCCCGUAGAAAACCGGACCCCGCCCUCUCCCUUUCGACCCCAACCUGCAAUUCCACGGAACUGCAACGUUUUCAACUAGCCAAAGUUCCUUGCAUCGUCGCAUUCUUCGUCCAACGGAUGGAGAAAAGGAUGGACAGCUAAUCAAUUGAUUUUUCAUCGAUUAACAAAUGAACAUCUUGAUAAUUAAUUCAUUAUGCAGUUGUAUAUUAAGUGGGAAUUUGAUGACAUAAAUGUGUUAGGAGAUAACUCUUAUGGAAUAUGAAUUUGAAGCGCAAUGUUUAAUGAGAAUUACUGCAUAAAUUGUUUAUUAAUAUUCUUGAUACAAAAUGGUUGAUUGCUGAUUGCAACAUACAAUAACUGAUUUUGGGAUAUCUGAAGUCUGACACGAUUUGAUAACAUAAAAGUAUUACAAAAUAACACUUAUGACAUAUGAAUUUGAAGCUCAAUGUUUAAUGAAAAUUACUGCAUAAAUUAUUUAUUAAUAUUUUUGAUAGAAAAUAGCUGAUUGCUGAUUACAGAAAAACAAUUUAAAGAUUAAAGUUUGAUGAAAAUGAUGAUAUGAAUGAUUCACUGGAUGGUAGUUACACCGAACAACGAUCAAUCUCGAAUUGCACCGAGCCAGAUAUCAUUAAUUGAUAUUAAUUUAGAGCUUAAAAUUUGCUAACAAUCAUCAGAAAUUUUAAUCACCAGUAAUUCCCACAAUUACGAUAAAAAAGAAUUUCCAUUGAACGUUUAUGCUCGCUUUGCUAAUCCCAGAUCUUUGAUAUAAAAAAAGCAGAGAUAACGUCUGCGGUAACACGAAUUGAUCUCAUCACCCUCUUCGGCCACACCUGUGUUUGCUCGCACCUGAAAUCAAAGAGGCGAUUACAUUCCCGUCAUCGUUACACCAGCGAGCCGAGAUGAGCAAAUAACCAUUGCACGUACAUCCGCCUUGAUCACGUGUGCACGUUAGGUGACCAUGCACACCGGGUUGCAUCAACCAUGAGCGCUUACUUAAAUACUUUGUGCAAACAAAAUGUCUGGUUGCAGUAUGUAGGGAGAUGUAUCAUGAAUUUCUGAAACAAUGCUUUUGAAUAAAAUGUAAAUGGAUAACAUGAUUUAUAUAUAGAACAAAAUUUGGAGAUAAAUGAAAGAAGUAGCAUAAAUGCAUUGAUGGUUUUUUAUUAAAUUAAAAAGUAAUUUCAAAGAAAUACUAAAAUAAUAAUUUUGAAUGCAACAAAACUAAAAAAAAGGAAUUUAAAGAUACAUUUUUUUCAUCAUAGUUUAAGACAAACUAUUGAAUCAAUGUAAUUAGAAGUGAAAACACAUUACCUCUAACUUAAGCAAGUGUGUAUUUUCAGUGAAAAGUAUUUUUAGUUGCGUUCGACUUAGACAAAAGCACAAUAGCCCGAAUAAAAAUUAUUUUUUCACCCAAAACACAUUCUAAAAUAUUAUCCACUUCCUUAAUACGGUCAAAGCUAUUUCACUAAAUCUAAUUCAAAUUUUUACACAAUUCAACCGAACUAUUUCUAUACCGUCGCGUGUGGCACAAUAUCUAUUCCCUUUCAUCCUCUCGGAUAACAGUUUCAAGCAACAGUGGUGUAGUCGUGAUUCAAAGUUGAGUGAUUAACCCUCGUGAUGAGAUGACAGUGACCGUAUUGUUCGCGAUCAAAAGUAUCCUCCCAUUGCUCUCAUCUCCCUGCAUUAAAGUGAUUGCGUAUCGGAUAAUCUACGAUAAACCUCGCUUUGAACGAUCAAGAUGUUACCAAAUACGUCACGGCUACUUAAUUACAUUUGCGGUGAACCACCUCUUGUGGCUGAAACUAGUUCGAUCGCCUGACCGGCGUAUAAUUGCGAGACAAACCUCCAACGCCCCUCUACAAUUUCCUUAUCAGAAAUCCCUAGAACAAGUUACGAAAUAUCUACUAAACGGUCGAAUUAUUUUCCAAGUUGGGCCCAGUCGAUAAACGAGGACACCUACACUGUCUACCACUACCAACCGAAAAUUUCUCCCUCGUUGUUUAUCUAAAAAGCAAGCUGUUCUCAACGGAACCGUUUGUCGCAAGCGGCAGAAUGUAACCGCGGAACAUCUUCGUAUCGUAUCGGGUUUCGUAUUUUGAGAAAGGGUUGCUAAGGAAAGAAAGUUGUCCGUCGCAUCUGUCCGACUAGCCGGCUAAGAAAAUAAGAAUCAUCGGGAUGAUUAGCGAAGAAAUAUAGCCGGACUCGUUUACAACAGUUUCUCGAAGGAUUAAAACCGUGUCCACCCUGGCUGGUAACUCCUGCUCGUCGAAAUAGCCGAUUGAAUUACACGCGGCGCGUGCCAGCCGGCCGCCACCGUCACCGCAUACGCCAAAAGAUCGUCUCUAAAGAAUAAAGAACGUAAUAAGCCACUAUCCGAUCGCUAUCUUGUCAUCCGAUGGGAUUUACAGCGACAAAGAGGCCGUUCCCUGUUUGUCAAUCUCUUCGUGACACCCUGGAGAAGAACUCGGAGAAUGGUCGUGCGAACGAUAAAGUAACGAGUGAAAUUGAGGGAAGGUUGAACGAUGAAGAUGAGUUUUAUUGUGAAAUAUCUGUGGAACAUCAGGAGAGCAAGAAGAGACAGGUCUAAUUGCGCCAGUAUUCUGGAAUUGCUUUAAAGCAUUAGCUGGAACGUCGCAGAGAGGUAUACAACCCCCCAAGAUGGCUGACUCCCGGGCGUAUCGACGUUUGGCGUUUGCGAGGUUUCCCAGAGGUACAGUCGGUUGCACACGGCUCUUGCUCUCUCUGUCCGCCGCUGUUGUGAUUGUAUAAAACCAGAGGCUGUUGCAAUUUGUAAUUAUAAUAAAUCAUACCCGACCCAUGAUUAUUUAUAUCUUAGACAAAGAGAUUCCAUGUUUCUUUUUUACAGUGCGCAUGGAUCCUGCGCCGAGCGUAGCGUACAGUGACCCCUGGUGUUCUCACGAUUCAUCAUUGGUGCGUGAAAAUUGCCUUAUAAAUUGAGAAGAAAUUAUUUAAGUGUUUAACACGUUUUGUUCCACGUGGAGCUUUGUUUUGUGAUAAAACGUGGCACGGAACGUGUUAACAUGGAUUUAUACGAGUAUUCUUUUAUAUCUGUUUUUCUGUCAGGACCUUUUUGUUGUCAUACCGCGUACGAGUCAUCGUGGAAGCAUUUAAACGAAAGAAAAAGUGUUUGAUACCAGUUCCACGGCCAUGGUGAUAUCAAAUUUAAAUGUCACGAGCGUGGAAGAUGCUCGUGUAGCAACCGUCUCUCAUGAAAUAUGGAGAAUAGCAAGGGCACUUUGAGGAUACGAAGGCAACGCCUCUAAAAUACGAGGUGGAUGUUUCUUCACCGUUUGGUUGAGAAAGGAACCUUUGUUGAGCGAGUUUUCUUCUGCCAUCCAACCAGGACGACUAGUUCUACCGAUUUAAAGCGUUCAAUUGGAGAUGACCAGCACCGAUUGGUAUGCAAUCUUCAGAACCACCUGACUUACUGAUGCGAUUACUUGGCUCUGUAAGAUCAGGCUUGGAAGGCACAAUGGUGUAAGGCGUAUUAUCCUUUGGUACCAAGGAAGGUGGCGGAAGCGGUAUGUGCAGGGAGACAUCCGGUAACCUCCAACGUCCCAAUUCGUCGCACCAAGUGGCAGCUGCUCUAACAGCAGCGACGUCGCGCAAUGGACAACCCGGUCGAAGAUGAGGAACCAUCGAGUCGCAUAUUUGCGAGACGAUCACCAGUGGCCCCGGUCCUCGCUUGCCUCUCGGACCCGGCCAGAUCCACCAGGUGCAAUCUACCCCUCUUCACCGUGUUCUCCGUCUUGCUGUCGUCGUUAAUAGCCAACGUCUCCAAGGACAAUGUAAGUACAGCAUGACUUCUCGAACUGGCAGCGUUCAUUUUCGUAGCCGCGGCAGCUCUUCUUCUGUCGCCCUGUUCCACCAGACGGGCGCAUUCAGCGGCAUCCUUAACGGUAACCUCUCUCAAACCACCAGCCACGUAAGUCCCUCGGCUAGGAUCCUCCUUCAGUGUCAGAAGGUCGCCGAUGCCGUCUUGGAGCAGGUCUCUCAGUCGCUCGUUGUAGAUCUCCAGAUAACUCAGCAGCGCCAGGUACCUCAUCUCCGAGCUGGCCGUCGACGUCGCCUCGAAGAUGUGGUCCAAGGUGCGUUCUAUGAACCCUCGCAUCGUGUGAGACUUCCCGCAGCCCGUCUGACCGUACGCGAACACCGUCCCGUUGUAACCGUCGAGAACAGCCUCCACGAUCACGGAGCCCACGUUCUCGUACACGGUCUCCGUGCUGGCUUCCGGUCCGAUGGCUGCGUCGAACUGGUACACCUUGCCGCUUCCGGUACCACCGGUUGGACCCUCCAGGGUGCAGCAUUUCGACGGUGAGUCGAUCGUUAUUACGUUCUAUAAAUAUGAGGAUUAAUUAAUUUUGAAGAUGAAGCACUGUUCACUAUUAGAAUAAGUCCCAUGAGAACAAUGCAGUCUGAUUGGUCGCGACCCAUUUUUUUUAUUUAUUAAUAGUAUUAUUGCUUCUUUAUUGGCUCUCGAAGAAAAUUUAAUUUAACAAAUUUUAGCAUUUUCUUUUAUAAAUCAUUCAUCUUAUUUAAAUUUGAAAUCUUUUUGCGAUUGAACAUUUUAGCAUUUUCUUUUAUAAAUCAUUCAUCUUAUUUAAAUUUGAAAUCUUUUAUUUUUUUGCAUCUACUAAUUAGGCUAGUGUAAAACUUAAUUAGGAAAAUUAAAUUAAAAAAUUUGUAGCAUUUUCUUCUAUAAAUCAUUCAUCUUAUUUAAUUUUUAUUUCUUAUUUAAAUUUGAAAUCUUUUUUUUCACAUCUAUAAUACUAAUUAGGCUCGUGUAAAAUUAGGAAGGGGGAGGGUGCUUAGUGAGCAAUAGAUGCGGUGAACUCUCGCUAUAUUGCCAAAACUCGCCCAAUUGACAAUAUAGCGAUAGUGUACUGUAUUUGCAAAAAGAGUUAAAUUUUGAAUUGUUUUUAGAUAUUUUUUUUCAAAGGAAUUAUACAAAUUAAAAUUUAUCAACGUUAUCACCUUGAGAUACAUUCAAUUUGAAUGGCUUUUUCCACAGUUAUUAUGAUAGUUAUUCAAUUGCAUUCUGAGAAAUGUUGUGCAACGUUGCAAUAACAUCGAACACAUUAGCAAAAACGUGUUCAUUAUUUGUGGCAUCGCUUUACUGAUCGUUUAUACCUUCUAUCGAUUCGGUUUCGUAGAAAUACUUGAAAGGCGCUGGCAAUUCGAAACUUUAUUCUUUUUUAACUCCUUCGUGGCCUUGGCGUUUUGUAAUUUUACGUUUCUUUUUUUUUAUGUAAAGCAGAAUUACUGCUUGCAAUAAAAGCUAAUGAUUUGACGGUUUAACUAGGACGCUGGGGUCAUUGAAGAUCUCAUUGAAAUAUAUCUCAUGUAUUAUUUUUCACGAUAUUUAUUUUUAUUUCUCUUCGAUUAUUAUUUUCGUUCGUUCGGUUGAAACUGUACAAACACAACGAUAAUUUCUUAUCGCCUCCGUUUAAUGUUAAUGAUCAUUUCUGCGGUUUUGUAAACACGUUACAAGCAGAAAUGAUCAAUGUCUUGAAAAAAUUGUUGGAGAGAGGAAACUUUGAAAAGUAUUGUCCAUUUUUAGCCAGAUUUGUCAGUCAGCGUUUCUUCAUGAAAUGCGAUAUAUCGUGUACCAUGAGUCGUCAUCAAAUUUACUAUUCCAUAAUAUAUUCAUCAGGCAACAAGAAAUGUAAGCACGCUAACUGAUCGGUGCAUACACGGUGCAUAGAUAGCGAUAUCGAACCACACAUCGUUUUACCUACGUAUGUACAUUGUCGUUCAGAAGUAUUAGCACAAUUGUAAUUUCGUUUUAAUUAUGUAAUAUUGCAGAUUAUGUAAUAAUUUUCCUGAAUUACAGAAUUUUCAUAUCUUGGAUAUUCCAGUA
Molecule: non-coding RNA, 10379 nt
Organism: Osmia lignaria (orchard mason bee)
Lineage: Eukaryota; Metazoa; Arthropoda; Insecta; Hymenoptera; Megachilidae
Source: RefSeq, a predicted model, not a curated record